Molecule: ribosomal RNA, 433 nt
Filed under: uncultured bacterium
Lineage: Bacteria
Description: partial 16S ribosomal RNA
Rfam family: Bacterial small subunit ribosomal RNA
Source: RNAcentral
AACGAACGCUGGCGGCAUGCCUAACACAUGCAAGUCGAACGAGACCUUCGGGUCUAGUGGCGCACGGGUGCGUAACGCGUGGGAACCUGCCCUUAGGUUCGGAAUAACUCCCCGAAAGGGGUGCUAAUACCGGAUAAUGUCUUCGGACCAAAGAUUUAUCGCCUUUGGUUGGGCCCGCGUUGGAUUAGCUAGUUGGUAGGGUAAAAGCCUACCAAGGCGACGAUCCAUAGCUGGUCUGAGAGGAUGAUCAGCCACACUGGGACUGAGACACGGCCCAGACUCCUACGGAAGGCAGCAGAGGGGAAUAUUGGACAAUGGGCGAAAGCCUGAUCCAGCAAUGCCGCGUGAGUGAUGAAGGCCUUAGGGUUGUAAAGCUCUUUUACCCGGGAUGAUAAUGACAGUACCGGGAGAAUAAGCUCCGGCUAACUCCGUG